RNAcentral lists this non-coding RNA (178 nucleotides) under Metabacillus indicus. RNAcentral's name for it is "Bacillus cibi Lysine sequence". It matches the Rfam family "Lysine riboswitch aptamer". From Rfam's summary of the family: Riboswitches are metabolite binding domains within certain messenger RNAs that serve as precision sensors for their corresponding targets. Allosteric rearrangement of mRNA structure is mediated by ligand binding, and this results in modulation of gene expression. The record is from Rfam by way of RNAcentral. Lineage: Bacteria; Bacillati; Bacillota; Bacilli; Caryophanales; Bacillaceae.
CAGUGAGGUAGAGGUUGCGCGAUUGGAAGAGUAGCAUGCAUGAGGCCGGUGGGGCUGAUGAACGCAUGACGAAAGGCCUUCGCGCCGAAGUGUAUAACAGCCACACUGUUAUACGCUGGGACGGCAUCGAACAGGUGCCGGACUGCCGCAGAUUUUUCUGCGGAGUGCUAUCUGGAGA